CAGCAUCCUAUGAUUAAUUCUUGCUUCAUUGCUGCUGCCAAUAGGUGUUGACUAAAAACCUUUUCUUCCAUGCAUCAUUAGAAAAAUAUACAUUUCUUUAUCUUCCGAAAAUGUACACUGACAAGUCCACAUCCAAUGCUGUUGGCAGCUAGAAAAUUAGAAAUUACAUAUGAAUUCCUCUCGUUACUGACCUAUCCGAAUUUUUUAAAUUAAUUUGGAAGGUUGAUGCAUGCAUCCACAAGGAAAUUGGCACUAACUUGAUUAACAACUUUUUUGCCCUACCCAGUCUAAAUGGAAUCCGGUUCUCGUCCUAGCUUUUUUUUUUGCCUUUUUUUUUGCUUCGGAUGGUACGUCGACUUAGUUAAUAUUUUGAGGAGCUUCUAAGCCAGGGCUGAGGCGCACUAUGUCUACGUCUGUAUACACUCUGCCCAUACCCAAGUCAAAUCACAUUGUAUAAACCUGCAAA
RNAcentral lists this long non-coding RNA (466 nucleotides) under Brachypodium distachyon (stiff brome). RNAcentral's name for it is "long non-coding RNA (BDIS_LNC003597)". The record is from RNAcentral. Lineage: Eukaryota; Viridiplantae; Streptophyta; Magnoliopsida; Poales; Poaceae.